AAUAAGUAAAUAAUUCUUUUCUUAAAACAGAUUCUGAACUCGUCUCUCUCCUGGUUGCGAUCUUUCAUGAAAACAGGGGAUUGGGUUGACCCGGUUUAGUAACCUGAUGGAGUUGCAAUCAAGCUAAGGCUAUAAUUAAAUAGGUUUUGGUCCUGAUUAGAUAAUUAUUUUUGUAUGGGAAAAAGGUUUGAUUAACUUUUUUUUAUUAAGUCCCGGUCUUGUUUUUGGUCUUGUCGAGUCCGGUCUGAAGCAGUUUAGCAAU
Molecule: long non-coding RNA, 262 nt
Filed under: Phoenix dactylifera (date palm)
Lineage: Eukaryota; Viridiplantae; Streptophyta; Magnoliopsida; Arecales; Arecaceae
Description: long non-coding RNA (PDAC_LNC013789)
Source: RNAcentral